RNAcentral lists this ribosomal RNA (586 nucleotides) under uncultured bacterium. RNAcentral describes it as "bacterial SSU rRNA". It matches the Rfam family "Bacterial small subunit ribosomal RNA", at positions 102 to 667 of the family's 1533-position model. The record is from RNAcentral.
ACGGGUGAGUAACACGUAGGUAAUCUACCUUUGGAUGGGGAAUAACAACCGGAAACGGUUGCUAAUACCGCAUAAUGCAGCGGCACCUAAUGGUGACAGUUGUUAAAGCGGGGGAUCGAAAGACCUCGCGUCUGAGGAGGAGCCUGCGGCGGAUUAGCUAGUUGGUAAGGUAACGGCUUACCAAGGCAACGAUCCGUAGCCGGCCUGAGAGGGCGGUCGGCCACACUGACACUGACAUACGGGUCAGACUCCUACGGGAGGCAGCAGUCGGGAAUUUUGGGCAAUGGGCGAAAGCCUGACCCAGCAACGCCGCGUGAAGGAUGAAAUCCUUCGGGAUGUAAACUUCGCAAGAACGGGAAGAAUAAGUCUGCGCAAAUAUCGCAGGCGAUGACGGUACCGUUUGUAAGCUCCGGCUAACUCCGUGCCAGCAGCCGCGGUAAUACGGGGGGAGCAAGCGUUGUUCGGAUUUACUGGGCGUAAAGGGCGCGUAGGCGGCCACUGCAAGUCAAUUGUGAAAUCUCCGGGCUUAACUCGGAAAGGUCAACUGAUACUGCAAGGGCUAGAAGUUCUGAGGGGCUCGACUAUG